This 120-nucleotide ribosomal RNA is filed under the name uncultured bacterium. RNAcentral describes it as "partial 16S ribosomal RNA". It matches the Rfam family "Bacterial small subunit ribosomal RNA", at positions 28 to 150 of the family's 1533-position model. The record is from RNAcentral.
GACGAACGCUGGCGGCGUGCUUAACACAUGCAAGUCGAGCGGAAAGGCCCUUCGGGGUACUCGAGCGGCGAACGGGUGAGUAACACGUGAGCAACCUGCCCUAGGCUUUGGGAUAACCCC